Molecule: long non-coding RNA, 497 nt
Organism: Patella vulgata (common limpet)
Lineage: Eukaryota; Metazoa; Mollusca; Gastropoda; Patellidae
Exons: 6
Source: RefSeq, a predicted model, not a curated record
AGGCUAUGGAAGGAUGGGGCGAAUAUUUACGAUAUCGUUAUAAUAGAGAUGAUAGUUAUUUAAAAUCUGAUUUGACCAUUAACUAUUUAGGUUAUUGGACUGAUGCAGGUGCGUAUUAUUAUUAUAACACAGAAGUUGAGAAGAAUUAUCAACAGACAAUUUUAGAUGUUUAUUCCUAUAUUAAUCAAAUCAAAGUACCCUACAGAUAUCUACAGUAUGACUCGUGGUGGUAUUAUAAAGGCAUAACUCAUGGUGUUAAAACUUGGGUGGCACGUCCAAAUGUAUUCCCAGACGGAAGUCAGUAUAUAUUUAAUAAAACUGGGUUACCUGUUUCAGCACAUAAUAGAUAUUGGGAUAGAGAUACAACGUAUGCCCAACAAAAUGGCGGAGACUAUAAAUUCAUCGUCGGUCUUCUCAAGGCUGUUCCCAUGGAUGUGAAACUAUGGAACCAUAUUUUCACCGAGGCGCGAAAGUGGGGAUUGAUCACAUAUGAACAG